AUCCUGAUAGUAAGUACAAAUCUUAAUAUGUUAAUAAAUGUGAUUAACAUUUGACGUAUCCGACAAAAAAAAAACAGAGGCAAAGACAAAAAUUCCAUCUUCAUCUCCAUACUAUGUAUUACUAAUGAUUAUUCAGUACACGCUUCAUUUUCUUAUGUCGCAUCUUUUACCAGAAAAGAUAACUAUGUAUCCCACCUAGGUAUUUGUUGAUAAAUUGUGAACCUGCAUUUAAUUUGAGUAAGCACAAUUUAAAACAUCCAAUAAAAAUAGACCUUCCAUAUAUAAGUUUAAUAGUAUGUAAGGUGCCUAACUGUCCGUUAAUUGGGGAAACCAAAAUACCGGCUUGAGACGGUAUUAACGACAAUGAAAAUUAAAAAAUCAAUACCCCCCCCCCCCCCCAAUUCAGCAUUCGUCCUGUUCAUCGGGACAAGUAUACAAAAAAACACACUAAUUACUACAAUAUGUAAUUGUGACUUUACUAAAAGGAACAAACUUUAAUAUAAGACCAUAGACCUCAAGAGCCUGAGACUCUUACCUUAUGAUGAUGAAUGAUAAUCUGAUUUUUGAUAAACCUCAUCUUCUUUCUAUAUCUCCAAGCCCAUAAAGAAAUUAGAACAUAUGAAUAGGCAGAACCAUGCAUGUAUAGAAAUAAAAAAAAGAACAAACAAAGUAGGGGGUUAUGGACUUGAAAAU
Molecule: long non-coding RNA, 693 nt
Filed under: Nicotiana tabacum (common tobacco)
Lineage: Eukaryota; Viridiplantae; Streptophyta; Magnoliopsida; Solanales; Solanaceae
Description: long non-coding RNA (NTAB_LNC004239)
Source: RNAcentral